UACGGAGGGUGCAAACGUUGCUCGGAAUCAUUGGGCGUAAAGCGCAUGUAGGCGGUCGGCUAUGUCGGAUGUGAAAGCCUCGGGCUUAACCCGAGAAGUGCAUCCGAAACUGGCCGGCUUGAGUACGGAAGAGGGUCUCGGAAUUCCCGGUGUAGAGGUGAAAUUCGUAGAUAUCGGGAGGAACACCAGUGGCGAAGGCGGAGACCUGGGCCGAUACUGACGCUGAGAUGCGAAAGCGUGGGGAGCGAACAGG
Molecule: ribosomal RNA, 253 nt
Filed under: uncultured bacterium
Lineage: Bacteria
Description: partial 16S ribosomal RNA
Rfam family: Bacterial small subunit ribosomal RNA
Source: RNAcentral